RNAcentral lists this unclassified non-coding RNA (168 nucleotides) under uncultured fungus. Its description in RNAcentral is "sequence contains ITS1". The record is from RNAcentral. Lineage: Eukaryota; Fungi.
GUGUGUGUUUGUGUCAAUGGUGUUAGUGUGUGUUGUGUAAUGAUGGGUGCGCGGCGCGUCACAAUGCUUGCCUCUCGGCUCGCACAUGCAACACACCCGCCCACUACUGUGCACGGUGCAUACAUGGCUAAAUCACUGAUGAUCCUUCCGCAGGUUCACCUACGGAAA